This 254-nucleotide ribosomal RNA is filed under the name Flavobacterium sp. RNAcentral describes it as "partial 16S rRNA". It matches the Rfam family "Bacterial small subunit ribosomal RNA", at positions 412 to 663 of the family's 1533-position model. Lineage: Bacteria; Pseudomonadati; Bacteroidota; Flavobacteriia; Flavobacteriales; Flavobacteriaceae. The record is from RNAcentral.
CGGUCUUAUGGAUUGUAAACUGCUUUUGCACAGGAAAAAACAACGCUACGUGUAGCGUCUUGACGGUACUGUGAGAAUAAGGAUCGGCUAACUCCGUGCCAGCAGCCGCGGUAAUACGGAAGAUCCAAGCGUUAUCCGGAAUCAUUGGGUUUAAAGGGUCCGUAGGCGGUUUAGUAAGUCAGUGGUGAUAGCCCAUCGCUCAACUGUGGAACGGCCAUUGAUACUGCUAUACUUGAAUUAUUAAGAAGUAACUA